Molecule: ribosomal RNA, 446 nt
Filed under: uncultured bacterium
Lineage: Bacteria
Description: bacterial SSU rRNA
Rfam family: Bacterial small subunit ribosomal RNA
Source: RNAcentral
GACGAACGCUGGCGGCGUGCCUAACACAUGCAAGUCGAGCGAGGAAGGGGAGAUAGCUUGCUAACUCCUAUUUCUAGCGGCGGACGGGUGAGUAACGCGUGAGCAACCUGCCUUUAUCAGGGGGAUAACGCAUCGAAAGAUGUGCUAAUACCGCAUAAGACCACAGCCUCACAUGGGGCAGGGGUCAAAGGAGCAAUCCGGAUAAAGAUGGGCUCGCGUCCGAUUAGCUAGUUGGUGAGAUAACAGCCCACCAAGGCGACGAUCGGUAGCCGACCUGAGAGGGUGAUCGGCCACAUUGGAACUGAGAGACGGUCCAGACUCCUACGGGAGGCAGCAGUGGGGAAUAUUGGGCAAUGGGCGAAAGCCUGACCCAGCAACGCCGCGUGAGGGAAGAAGGGUUUCGGCUCGUAAACCUCUGUCCUAUGGGACGAAGGAAGUGACGGUAC